GUGGAGGUGUCUACAGAUACUUCGUAUUCUGACCUCUGUUUUGUUUGGGGUGGAGGUCAGAGUGUGGCGGAGGUGUCCACAGAUACUUCGUAUUCUGACCUCGGUUUUGUUUGGGGUGGAGGUCAGAGUGUGGCGGAGGUGUCUACAGAUACUUCGUAUUCUGACCUUGAUUUAAUUCCCUCAUAAUUCCACCACCUUUUACACACAAUGAAACCAUUAAUAUGGUCUAAUGAACCUACCGGUCUCAAGUGGGACAGUGAAAUAGGCUGUAAAUAGCUGAGCCAUUAUUCAGAAUUUGAAUUGUAUGCCCUCAUCAUUUGGAUGAAACGUGGAGAGCCAGGCUACAGGCGUCUGUAGGGCUCAACCUCCUGACUUGAUGUAUGCACUUUAAAAUGUUUGAAUUAUAUUCCUGGGCUUUUCGCCGGUUUAUUUGACUAUUUGUAUCAUGUUAAAUAUUAGGCACUAUAUCAGGAGCCACCAUCAGUAAUACCCACAUACAUUUAUAAGUGUUAGUUUUCUUCAAUUUGUACCUUACAUUUAGCAUCAUUCCAUUCUGUUGACCCUCCCUUCCACUGUCAUGUCAGUGUCGUUGUUCCUGAAGGUCGCUAGCAUUACUGGAUCAUAUAGACUAACGUUGUGCAAUAAUGUAGGACAUGUAGCCUAUUAGAUCAUUAUGGAACUCAGACCACACGUAGCAGGUUAAACCUGGAGCCUGACUCACGGUUCACCACGACUGGACCGUUGUGAGAAUCAGGGUAGACUCACGGUUCACCACGACCGGACCGUUGUGAGAAUCAGGGUAGACUCACGGUUCACCACGACUGGACCGUUGUGAGAAUCAGGGUAGACUCACGGUUCACCACGACCGGACCGUUGUGAGAAUCAGGGUAGACUCACGGUUCACCACGACUGGACCGUUGUGAGAAUCAGGGUAGACUCACGGUUCACCACGACUGGACCGUUGUGAGAAUCAGGGUAGACUCACGGUUCACCACGACUGGACCGUUGUGAGAAUCAGGGAAGUUCAACCCCUAUUCUACACUUUUUCCACCUUCCAAUAUUUCAUAUAUUGAAUCAAACCACUGUAUUUUUUUAUUCAUAAAUAUAUUUUGAGUAAAGGCUCUCCAAACCGGUUGGUUUAUGAUUCAUACAUACUUUCUUAAGACUAAAUGGCAUAUAUUAUUAUAUUAUUAUUAUUAUUAUUAUAUUAUUAUUAU
Molecule: long non-coding RNA, 1217 nt
Organism: Oncorhynchus keta (chum salmon)
Lineage: Eukaryota; Metazoa; Chordata; Actinopteri; Salmoniformes; Salmonidae
Exons: 2
Source: RefSeq, a predicted model, not a curated record